CGGGGUGAGUAACGCGUGGGUAACCUGCCUUGUACUGGGGGACGAACAGUUGGAAACGACUGCUAAUACCGCAUAAGCGCACAGCUUCGCAUGAAGCAGUGUGAAAAACUCCGGUGGUACAAGAUGGACCCGCGUCUGAUUAGCUGGUUGGUGAGGUAACGGCCCACCAAGGCAACGAUCAGUAGCCGGCCUGAGAGGGUGAACGGCCACAUUGGGACUGAGACACGGCCCAA
Molecule: ribosomal RNA, 233 nt
Filed under: uncultured bacterium
Lineage: Bacteria
Description: partial 16S ribosomal RNA
Rfam family: Bacterial small subunit ribosomal RNA
Source: RNAcentral